Alligator sinensis (Chinese alligator) is the source of this 461-nucleotide long non-coding RNA. RefSeq lists it as uncharacterized. NCBI's taxonomy places the organism in Eukaryota, Metazoa, Chordata, Crocodylia, Alligatoridae. The transcript has 3 exons. The record is from RefSeq and is a predicted model, not a curated record.
AAUUGGAGGGCACCCAGGGAAGGAGUCAGGUAGAAAGAGACUUCUCAGGGAAGGAAUCAUGAUGGAAGAGUUAGGUUUCUAGAGAGAGGAGCCUAAAGCAGGAAGAUAGUCAAGACCUGAGGGCCAGAGAGUAAAGGCAGGCAAACAGCUGGGAGUGGAGGGCUAAGCACCUUUGGAGCUGGAAGCUGAGAGCCCAGAGGGAGAAAGCUGGUGGGUCAGCACAGGAGCCUGCCUGUAGUGCAUUUUUCCAGGGAGUUGCCCAGAGACCGAACAUCCAGGUAUAAGCAAUAACCAGAGCCAACAUCCACUAAGAGAAGAAAGGACUUCCAAAGGCAUUCAGCAUCUAACCUAUGAGGGUGUUUAGCUACCUGGAGGACCAGGAAGAUGGCAUCAGAAUAAAAGAUGUAUUCCUACAACACCCAAUGAAGAUAAAAUGAAGUACCAGAAACAUCCCUGAAUCU